CAGCUGUAAACAAUGUGCGUUAGGUGUGUCGGUAACCACGUGUUACUGAUGCGCCGAAGAGAAAUCGUGAAACGCACCACCUGGGAAGUACGGUCGCAAGGCUGAAACUUAAAGGAAUUGGCGGGGGGAGCACCACAACGGGUGGAGCCUGCGGUUUAAUCGGACUCAACGCCGGGAAUCUCACCGGAUAAGACAGCUGAAUGAUAGUCGGGAUGAAGACUCUACUUGACUAGCUGAGAGGUGGUGCAUGGCGUCAGUGACU
RNAcentral lists this ribosomal RNA (262 nucleotides) under uncultured archaeon. Its description in RNAcentral is "partial 16S ribosomal RNA". It matches the Rfam family "Archaeal small subunit ribosomal RNA", at positions 748 to 1008 of the family's 1478-position model. The record is from RNAcentral.